UGCAGUCGACGGUAACGCGGGGCACCUGGCGACGAGUGGCGAACGGGUGAGUAAUACAUCGGAACGUGCCCAGUAGUGGGGGAUAGCCCGGCGAAAGCCGGAUUAAUACCGCAUACGACCUAUGGGUGAAAGUGGGGGAUCGCAAGACCUCACGCUAUUGGAGCGGCCGAUGUCAGAUUAGGUAGUUGGUGGGGUAAAGGCCUACCAAGCCGACGAUCUGUAGCUGGUCUGAGAGGACGACCAGCCACACUGGGACUGAGACACGGCCCAGACUCCUACGGGAGGCAGCAGUGGGGAAUUUUGGACAAUGGGCGCAAGCCUGAUCCAGCCAUGCCGCGUGCGGGAAGAAGGCCUUCGGGUUGUAAACCGCUUUUGUCAGGGAAGAAACGCGCUGAGCUAAUACCUCGGCGUAAUGACGGUACCUGAAGAAUAAGCACCGGCUAACUACGUGCCAGCAGCCGCGGUAAUACGUAGGGUGCAAGCGUUAAUCGGAAUUACUGGGCGUAAAGCGUGCGCAGGCGGCUUUGCAAGACAGAUGUGAAAUCCCCGGGCUUAACCUGGGAACUGCAUUUGUGACUGCAUGGCUGGAGUGCGGCAGAGGGGGAUGGAAUUCCGCGUGUAGCAGUGAAAUGCGUAGAUAUGCGGAGGAACACCGAUGGCGAAGGCAAUCCCCUGGGCCUGCACUGACGCUCAUGCACGAAAGCGUGGGGAGCAAACAG
RNAcentral lists this ribosomal RNA (719 nucleotides) under uncultured Methylibium sp. RNAcentral describes it as "bacterial SSU rRNA". It matches the Rfam family "Bacterial small subunit ribosomal RNA", at positions 56 to 775 of the family's 1533-position model. Lineage: Bacteria; Pseudomonadati; Pseudomonadota; Betaproteobacteria; Burkholderiales; Sphaerotilaceae. The record is from RNAcentral.